RNAcentral lists this ribosomal RNA (910 nucleotides) under uncultured bacterium. RNAcentral describes it as "bacterial SSU rRNA". It matches the Rfam family "Bacterial small subunit ribosomal RNA", at positions 554 to 1456 of the family's 1533-position model. The record is from RNAcentral.
CUGGGCGUAAGAGCAUGUAGGCGGGUAUUUAAGUCAGGAGUGAAAACUAUGGGCUCAACCCAUAGCCUGCUCUUGAAACUGGAUACCUUGAGGGUAUGAGAGGAAAGCGGAAUUCCCAGUGUAGCGGUGAAAUGCGUAGAUAUUGGGAGGAACACCAGUGGCGAAGGCGGCUUUCUGGCAUACAACUGACGCUGAGAUGCGAAAGCGUGGGGAGCGAACGGGAUUAGAUACCCCGGUAGUCCACGCCGUAAACGAUGGGUACUAGGUGUAGGAGGUAUCGACCCCUUCUGUGCCGUAGUUAACACAAUAAGUACCCCGCCUGGGGAGUACGGCCGCAAGGUUGAAACUCAAAGGAAUUGACGGGGGCCCGCACAAGCGGUGGAGCAUGUGGUUUAAUUCGACGCAACGCGAAGAACCUUACCAGGGCUUGACAUCCUCUGACGUCUCAAGAGAUUGGGAGUUUAAGAGCUUGCUCUUAACAGAGAGACAGGUGGUGCAUGGUUGUCGUCAGCUCGUGUCGUGAGAUGUUGGGUUAAGUCCCGCAACGAGCGCAACCCUUAUCUUUAGUUGCCAGCAAGUAAAGUUGGGCACUCUAGAGAGACUGCCGGUGACAAACCGGAGGAAGGUGGGGAUGACGUCAAAUCAUCAUGCCCCUUAUGUCCUGGGCUACACACGUGCUACAAUGGCCAGAACAAAGGGUAGCGAAGGGGUGACCUGGAGCCAAUCCCAUCAAAGCUGGUCUCAGUUCGGAUUGCAGGCUGCAACUCGCCUGCAUGAAGUCGGAAUCGCUAGUAAUCGCGGAUCAGCAUGUCGCGGUGAAUACGUUCCCGGGCCUUGUACACACCGCCCGUCACACCACGAAAGUCUGCAACACCCGAAGCCGGUGAGGUAACCGUAAGGAGCCAGCCGU